UACGAAGGGUGCUAGCGUUGUUCGGAAUUACUGGGCGUAAAGCGCGCGUAGGCGGCUAUCCAAGUCAGGGGUGAAAUCCUUGGGCUCAACCCAAGAAUUGCCUUUGAAACUGGAUAGCUAGAGUGUCGGAGGGGAUAGCGGAAUUCCUAAUGUAGAGGUGAAAUUCGUAGAUAUUAGGAGGAACACCGGUGGCGAAGGCGGCUAUCUGGACGACAACUGACGCUGAGGCGCGAAAGCAUGGGGAGCGAACAGG
This 253-nucleotide ribosomal RNA is filed under the name uncultured bacterium. Its description in RNAcentral is "partial 16S ribosomal RNA". It matches the Rfam family "Bacterial small subunit ribosomal RNA", at positions 524 to 776 of the family's 1533-position model. The record is from RNAcentral.